Molecule: transfer RNA, 72 nt
Filed under: Pangasius djambal
Lineage: Eukaryota; Metazoa; Chordata; Actinopteri; Siluriformes; Pangasiidae
Description: tRNA-Glu
Rfam family: tRNA
About the family: Transfer RNA (tRNA) molecules are approximately 80 nucleotides in length. Their secondary structure includes four short double-helical elements and three loops (D, anti-codon, and T loops). Further hydrogen bonds mediate the characteristic L-shaped molecular structure. tRNAs have two regions of fundamental functional importance: the anti-codon, which is responsible for specific mRNA codon recognition, and the 3' end, to which the tRNAs corresponding amino acid is attached (by aminoacyl-tRNA synthetases). tRNAs cope with the degeneracy of the genetic code in two manners: having more than one tRNA (with a specific anti-codon) for a particular amino acid; and 'wobble' base-pairing, i.e. permitting non-standard base-pairing at the 3rd anti-codon position.
Source: RNAcentral
UCCCUGGAGGGCUAGUGGUUAGGCUACUGCAGUCUCACUGCUGUGGCCUGGCUUCGAUUCUCGGCUAGGGAA